Molecule: ribosomal RNA, 253 nt
Filed under: uncultured bacterium
Lineage: Bacteria
Description: partial 16S ribosomal RNA
Rfam family: Bacterial small subunit ribosomal RNA
Source: RNAcentral
UACGUAGGGGGCAAGCGUUGUCCGGAUUUACUGGGCGUAAAGAGCGUGUAGGCGGCCACGCAGGUCCGUUGUGAAAACUGGAGGCUCAACCUCCAGCUGUCGACGGAAACCGUAUGGCUAGAGUCCGGAAGAGGAGAGUGGAAUUCCUGGUGUAGCGGUGAAAUGCGCAGAUAUCAGGAAGAACACCGGUGGCGAAAGCGGCUCUCUGGGCCUUACCUGACGCUGAGGAGCGAAAGCGUGGGUAGCGAACAGG